Molecule: ribosomal RNA, 569 nt
Filed under: Skeletocutis sp. KUC20121109-07
Lineage: Eukaryota; Fungi; Basidiomycota; Agaricomycetes; Polyporales; Incrustoporiaceae
Description: eukaryotic LSU rRNA
Rfam family: Eukaryotic large subunit ribosomal RNA
Source: RNAcentral
UAACAAGGAUUCCCCUAGUAACUGCGAGUGAAGCGGGAAAAGCUCAAAUUUGAAAUCUGGCGGUUUUGGCCGUCCGAGUUGUAGUCUGGAGAAGUGCUUUCCGUGCCGGACCGUGUACAAGUCUCUUGGAACAGAGCGUCGUAGAGGGUGAGAAUCCCGUCUUUGACACGGACUACCGGUGCUUUGUGAUGCGCUCUCAAAGAGUCGAGUUGUUUGGGAAUGCAGCUCAAAAUGGGUGGUGAAUUCCAUCUAAAGCUAAAUAUUGGCGAGAGACCGAUAGCGAACAAGUACCGUGAGGGAAAGAUGAAAAGCACUUUGGAAAGAGAGUUAAACAGUACGUGAAAUUGCUGAAAGGGAAACGCUUGAAGUCAGUCGCGUCGUCCGGAACUCAGCCUUGCUUCGGCUUGGUGCAUUUUCCGAUCGACGGGCCAGCAUCGAUUUUGACCGACGGAUAAAGGUUUGGGGAAUGUGGCACCUCCGGGUGUGUUAUAGCCUCAGAUUGUAUACGUCGGUUGGGAUCGAGGAACUCAGCUUCGGCUUAGGAUGCUGGCAUAAUGGCUUUAAACGAC